RNAcentral lists this transfer RNA (73 nucleotides) under Pteropus alecto (black flying fox). It matches the Rfam family "tRNA". From Rfam's summary of the family: Transfer RNA (tRNA) molecules are approximately 80 nucleotides in length. Their secondary structure includes four short double-helical elements and three loops (D, anti-codon, and T loops). Further hydrogen bonds mediate the characteristic L-shaped molecular structure. tRNAs have two regions of fundamental functional importance: the anti-codon, which is responsible for specific mRNA codon recognition, and the 3' end, to which the tRNAs corresponding amino acid is attached (by aminoacyl-tRNA synthetases). tRNAs cope with the degeneracy of the genetic code in two manners: having more than one tRNA (with a specific anti-codon) for a particular amino acid; and 'wobble' base-pairing, i.e. permitting non-standard base-pairing at the 3rd anti-codon position. Lineage: Eukaryota; Metazoa; Chordata; Mammalia; Chiroptera; Pteropodidae. The record is from Rfam by way of RNAcentral.
GGUUCCAUAGUGUAGCUGUUAGCACGUCAGCUUUACAUGUAGAAGGUCCUGGGUUCUCGCCCCGGUGGAGCCC